Molecule: ribosomal RNA, 495 nt
Filed under: uncultured bacterium
Lineage: Bacteria
Description: bacterial SSU rRNA
Rfam family: Bacterial small subunit ribosomal RNA
Source: RNAcentral
ACUCAAAUGAAUUGACGGGGACCCGCACAAGCAGUGGAGUAUGUGGUUUAAUUCGACGCAACGCGAAGAACCUUACCAAGGCUUGACAUUGUUCUGAAUACAGUAGAGAUACUGUAGCCCUUCGGGGCAGAAUAACAGGUGGUGCAUGGUUGUCGUCAGCUCGUGUCGUGAGAUGUUGGGUUAAGUCCCGCAACGAGCGCAACCCUUGUCAUUAGUUGCCAGCAGUAAGAUGGGCACUCUAAUGAGACUGCCGGUGAUAAAUCGGAGGAAGGUGGGGACGACGUCAAAUCAUCAUGCCCCUUAUGUCUUGGGCUACACACGUACUACAAUGGCUAUUACAGAAGGAAGCGAAGGAGCAAUUCGGAGCGAACCCUAAAAGAUAGUCCCAGUUCGGAUUGGGGGCUGCAACCCGCCCCCAUGAAGUCGGAAUUGCUAGUAAUUGCAGGUCAGCAUACUGCAGUGAAUACGUUCCCGGGUCUUGCACACACCGCCCGU